RNAcentral lists this long non-coding RNA (6481 nucleotides) under Homo sapiens (human). RNAcentral's name for it is "HSALNT0024061". Lineage: Eukaryota; Metazoa; Chordata; Mammalia; Primates; Hominidae. The record is from RNAcentral.
AACACCACCUGCCAACAUUCAGCCUCCUCUGCCCAUCAGCCUUGCUGACACAGGGAGUGGAGAUUUGUGUAGAGAAAUGACUCAUUCAAAUAUGACUUAAUCUAAACCGUAAGUGUAUGAUUUAUUAAUGUGCCACCAGGCCUUACACCAAGAGAGCCAUUCCAGAGAAAAGUCCUUUUUCUCCUGAGAACAGUGCCAGCAGCUGGCUUCGUGACAUUCUGGAAGCCCCGUGCAAUGCUGUCAGGAGCAUAGGGAUUUUACUUUAUCUCCCUUGCUUAUGCUCCACAUAACUGAAAUAUCUCACUGGAAGCUGCAGCAGUGCUGGCCCCUUGCACAGCCAUAUGUGACCACUGCAGAACAAUCAGUUGGAGAGACAGUUUGGACUACAUGGAGGGUGGAGAUAAGGACAAAGUGAAGAAUACACAGGAACCAGUGCCUCCUCCUGGAACUAUGCAACUCCAAGCUGCUUCCAUCAGCUGCUAGGUCCAGUAGGGAGGGACCUACUGAGAGAAGGUGCCUGCUUCCCUUUCCGCUGUGAUUGUAAGUUUCCUGAGGCCUCCUCAGCCAUGUGGAACUACAGGAAACGCCACGAAGUGUCUGGAUCAAAGAACAGACUAUUGCUCACAGAGCACCUUCAUAGCAUUGUUCCUCAUGCCCCCGUUGCCCAAGGGGAUGGCAGGUUGAGGACCAGAUGUACUUGCAUGUUCAGGGGAUGCAGCACAGAAGAGGAACUCCAAAAUUAUUAUUAUUAUUGUUAUUAUUAUUAUUUUUGAGAUGGAGUCUCGCUCUGUCGCCCAGCCUGGAGUGCAGUGGCGUGAUCUCGGCUCACUGCAAGCUCCGCCUCCCGGGUUCACGCCAUUCUCCUGCCUCAGCCUCCCGAGUAGCUGGGACUACAGGCACGCACCGCCACGCCCUGUUAAUUUUUUUUGUAUUUUUUUUUAGUAGAGACAGGGUUUCACCGUGUUAGCCAGGAUGGUCUUGAUCUCCUGACCUCGUGAUCCACCCGCCUCGGCCUCCCAAAGUGCUGGGAUUACAGGCGUGAGCCACCGCGCCCGGCCGAACUCCAAAAUUAUUAAACUCUGAGCGUCUGCAGGUGACUGACACAUCUGCGCUUCCUUUCUUCCAGGGUGUGGGGAAGAGCGAGAAAAAGAUUUCCGCUCUGGAAGGUAAACAAAUACUCUCUGGAGAGAGAAGAGGAAUGUCCCUAGCAGAUGUCUCCAGAGAAGACAAGACUUUAAAUUCCGCCAGGGAAAUAUACAAUGUCUAACUUCUAAGGCACAUUUGCCAUUCAAUCAUGCUUUAACCCACGUUGCCAGAAAUUUUUGCUCACUAGGUUUUGACUGUACAGGAAUGUGAAAAUAUUCAUGAAGAGUUGUUUUCCAAUGCUAAAGAAUUGAUGUGUUUUAACAGUUGAAUUAAUUGUAUUGAUUAUGAUCACACCUACUUUUUAUAUAUCUUCAUUUCUAACGUUUCUGUACAAUCCUGCCUUUCCACCUGAUAUAGUUAGGCCUUGUGUCAUCAACCAAAUCUCAUCUUGAAUUGUAAUCGCCAUAAUCCCCACGUAUUUAGGGAGAGACCUGGAGGGAGGUGUUUGGAUCAUGGGGGCGGUUUCCCGCAUGCUGUUCUCAUGACCAUGAGAGUAAGUUCUCAAGAGAUCUGAUGGUUUUAUAAGCGUCUGUCAUUUCCACUGCUUGCACUUCUGUGUCCUGCCACCUUGUGAAGAAGGACGUGGUUGCUUCCCCUUCCACCAUGAUUGUGUUUCCUGAGGCCUCCCCAGCCUUGCAGAGCUGUGAGUCAAUUAAACCUCUUUCCUUUAUAAAUUACUCAGUCUCUGUAUUCCUCUGCAGCAGUGUGAGAACAGACUAAUACAUCACCACUUUAUUUACUUUACUCUCUCCCCAUACCGAGGUUUUCUACAUUUUCUUUCUAGGUCUCUACAGUUUCUGCAAAGAUCCUUUAUGGAACUCUUAGGGAAGCUGGGAUGUAUAAUAAAUAAAGGGCUCUUUUCUUUGAGUCCCACACCCAUUUUCUGUGUAUAAAAAUCUUCAACUCCACUUUUGUCUGUUCUAUUUAAAUGUGUGCACAUUUCCUUCUAAUGUUGUAUAUGAAAAAGAGACACCUCUUAGCAGUCUUUCAUAGAGCAAAAUUUUUUACUUUGAUAAAAUCUAAUUUAUCAAUAUUUUUAAAUUUUAUGGAUCAAUCAUGCUUUUGAGGUUGAAUUUAAGAAUGCUUUGCCUAGCCCUAGAUCCCAAGUAUCUUUUAAAAAUUAUUUUUCUAAAUGCAUUAUUUAUGUUUUACACUUAAGUCUAUAAUCCAUUUUGAGUCCAUGUGUAAGAUUUAGGUUAAGGUCAAGAUUUAUCUGUUUUUGUUGUUUUCUCUAUAAAUGUCAAUUGCUCCAGCACUAUUUGUUUAAAAGCCAAUCUUUCCUCCGCUGAGUUCUUCCUAUAAGUUUGUCAAAAGUCAAUUUGGCAUCUUUGUAUAAGUUUAUUUCUGGAUUCUCUAUUCUGUUUUAUUGAUCACUGCAUCUAUCCCUCUUGAUUAGCUAGAUAAUAAAUCCUACAAUAAGGUAGAAUUCUUCCCACUUUAUUCAUAUUCAAAAUAUUUUAAAGCUAUUCUAGUUUCUUUUUAUUUCCAUAUAUAUUUUAGGAUAAUCUUAUCUAUAUUUACAACAUAUGUUGCUAGGAUUUUGAUAGAAUUUGUUUUAAAUUUGUGUAUCAAUGUAGGGAAGACCUGACAUCUUUACUAUUACGUUGAUCUUCCAAUCAAUGAAUAUGGUAUAUCUCUCAGUUUAUAGCUAUUGUCUUUAAUUUAUUUCAUCAUGGUUUUUAGUUUUCAGCAGAGAAGCUUUAUACAUGUUUUGUUAUACAUGUAUAACAAAAGAAGCCUUAUACACUGACAUUUUAUAUUUUGAACAAUUGUAAAUGGUAUUGUUUAAAAAUUUUGUUGUCUAUGAUAGAAAUAAAAUUGAUUUUUGUAGGUUUAUCUUGUAACCUAUGACUUGCUGAGCUCGCUCAUUAGUUUUUUUAUUGUGAUAAAAUAUACAUGAGAUAAAUUUCAUCAUUAUAAUCAUUAAGUUUAGACAUCAAUUGCAUUAAGUACAUAAAUGCCUUAUGCAACCAUCAUCUCUAUCCAUCUCCAGACCCUUUGCAUCACCCUAAAAUGAAACUCUGUGCCCAUUAAACAAUAACUCCCCAUUCUGCCCUCACCCCAGCCCUUGGUAAUUACCAUCCUACCUUUUAUCUCUAUAAAUUUAACCAUCCCAGGUAACUCAUAUAAGUGGAAUCAUGCAGUGUUUGUCCUUUUGUAACUGGUUUAUUUCACUUAGCAUGAUGUCUUCAAGGUUUGCCUAUGUCAUAGCAUGUGUCAGAAUUUCAUCCCUUUUUAAACUUAAAUAAUAUUCCACUGUAGGCAUAUGCCACAUUUUGUUUAUUUGUUCAUCUGUUGAUGGGCAUUUGGGUUGUUUCCACCUUUUGGCUACUGUGAAUAAUGCUGCUGUGAUCAUGGGUAUGCAACUGUCUCCUGGAGUCCCUGCUAUCAAUUCUUGUGGGUAUAUACCCAGAAGUGGAAUUGUUGCAACAUAUAGUAAUUCUAUGUUUAAUUUUUUGAGGACCUGCCAUAAUGUUUUCCACAGUAGCUACAUUGUCUUAUAUUCCCAUUAAGAGUUCCAAUUUCCUCACAUCUUCACCAAUACUUAUUGUUUUCUGUUUUUUUAAAUAAUAGCCAUCAUAAUAAAAGUAACAUGGUAUCUCAUUGUGGUUUUAACUGCAUUUCCCUUUUUACUGGAUUGUUUGUAAUAUUGCUGUAAUUGAGUUGUAGGAGUUUUUAAAUAUGUUCUGAAUAAUUAAUUUCUUAUCAGAUAUGUCAUUUGCAAAUAUUUUCUGCCAUUCUCUGGGUUGUCAUUUCACUCUCUUGAUAGUGUCCUUUGAUGCACAGAAGUUUUGAAAUUUGAUAAAGUUUAAUUUGCGUAUGUAUUUAUUUUGUUGCUUAUGCUUUUGGUGUCAUAUCCAAGAAAUUAUUGCCAAAUUCAGUGUCAUGAAGAUUUUCCCCUGUGUUUUCCUCUAAGAGUAUUAUAGUUUUAACUCUUGCACUUAGAUUGAUCCGCUUUGAGUUAAUUUUAGUAUAUGGGGUAAGACAAGGGCUCAAAUUUGUUCUUUUGUUUGAAGAUUCUAGGUCAUUUGUGAUCUUUAGGAUUUUCUAUGUAGACAUUAAUGUCAUCUUCAAAUAUGAACAGUUUAUUUCUUCCUUUUGUAUAUGUAUGAAUUUACUUUCCUUUUCUUGCCUUAUUGCACUGGCUAGAGUUUUCAGUACUAUGAUGAAUAAAAUCAGUGAGAGCAGACACCCUUGCUUUGUUUCUAAUCUUAGGAGGAAAGCUUUCAGUCUUUCAUCAUUAGGUAUACUGUUAGUUGUAGGCUUAUUAUAGAUGCUCUUUAUCAGGUUGAGGCAGUUUCCUCCUUGGUUAAGACUUUCUAUUUUUCAUUUUCAGUUAUGACCAGGCAUGUUCAUAACUGCUCAUCAAAACUUUGAAUUAGUGGCUGCUUUAACAUCCUUCUCAGACAAUUCUAACAUCUGUUUUGUUGGUGGUGGCAUCUAUCAAUUGUCUUUUUCAUUCUGUUUGAGAUCUUCCUUGCGUUUGGUAUGAUUUUUUUAAAUAUUAUGUCAUGAAACUGCAUCUUAUUUAAAUCUUCUGUUUUAGUUGGCUAUGUCUGACAUCACUUCCCCAGGGGAAGGUGUUGUUACUGCUAGUGGAGGGUGAGAAUUAUGGCUCUCCACUGACAUUGUGGUGGGAUUGGUCCCAUUACCACUGGGCAGGGUUGAAAGUCCUGACUUUCUGCUAGGCCUUCUCUGACUUCAUCGCAGCAGGAGGAAAAGAUGCCUCUGGAGUUGAAGUCAGGUUGCACUGACACUGUGUGUGUAUGGAGGUAGGCUGGGGUGAAAGUGGAGACUCAUUACCACAUGGUGAGUAGUUUCCAGCUCUCUAUUUGGCCUUCUCUGAUACCACCCAGACAGGGACAUUGGGGAUACCUCAUUACAGCCUAGUGAGGGUCAAACUCUAGGCUCCCCACUCAGUCUUUGCUAUCAUGGACACUGUAGGACCAUAGUUUUUUCUGUGCUGUUUGCUUGAUGUGUCUUCCUUGGACCCUGAGUUCCAUAGCUGGUCUGCAUUCCUCUCUCCACCUUUAAGACGUCUUCUUAUGUUUAUUUCAUAUUUAACAUCCAGGGUGGUAAUUAGAGGGAAGAAUAGAGGGAAAAGUACAGUUGCACUUUGUUGUUCAAAGAGCAGUUUUGAACUGCACAGACCCAUUUCUCUGAGCACACCCAGGGAUGAUUGUACUUGUAUAAAAUUUUUUUCCUGGAUGCAGAAUUCUCAAUUGACUGUGAAAGUUCAUAACAAAGAAAACAGUGGGGAAGACAAAUCUGGAAAUGAGGAAAAUAAAAAUUAAAUAGUGAGACCACCCAUGGAGCUUGUGGCAAAGCCUGAAUUGAAUCCGCUGUAUCUUAAGAUUGUGCCUCAUUCUAAAUUUAAGUCACCCUUCUCAUUAUGAAAGUGUCACAACUUCUCAGUAGGUGAGGAGACAGUCUAAAUUUGAGAAAAGAAAGUUACAACAAAGGUUUUGAGCAAGCUGCUAAGUGGAUUUAUUCAUGUUUGAGAAAUCAAAUAUAUGGUUAAUGAGCUCUUUAACUAGAAGCCAACACUAGGGAGGAGUAGACAGAAGUCACGGGGAGGGAGCCCCCGGACAUUUCAAAAGACUUUGCCCUGCAACAUCUCCUCCACAUUUAAGCUUUUAGGUUAUUGUAGCCACAUCACAAGCAUGUUACCUACCCAGAUAUUGUCUGCGCAUCAUUCCCAAAAGCUUCCCUGGGUCUUCAUAAUAUUAAUGAGAUUCUCCCCCAGGUUAGACCCCUUUGGCUUGAGUCAGAAACAGAAUUAAUCCGGGGGACAAUCCAGCAGCACCCAUCUCUGGGUUGCAGAAAUAUCUGAGGUGACCAGGCAGUGUUUGGAGUCCCCUCAGUUAGCUAACAAAGUGAGUUCACAGCUUCCAAGACCCCAGGCUUUCCAGGCUAAUAAAGAGCUGAGGUUAUAGGCUCUCCUUAUCAAACGCUCUUUGGCAGCUGCCAUAACCAUUCCAAGUCUAGUCCUAGAAUAGAAAUGACGCGGUUUCAGGAGCUGACAGAUGGAACUUUAAGCCUUCCUUCCUGCCACAUCUGAAGUUCUUUUUUAAAAAAAUAGAAAACCAUGACAAUAAACACUCCUUGAAUGCCCUGUGGAAAAGUGUACUCCUCAGAAUUCACUAAAGUGGGGUGAAGCAGUGGGUUGUGGUGCUGAGAAAACAUCUCUUCCCCUCGGCAGUAUAUUGGAAUCUCAUAGAAACUUCUGUGGCUGGGAAGCAAACAUGCUCUCUGCCCCAUUGCUCUUAUUCAUCUUUAGACCUGAUAAUACAGUUUGAACUUCAAGUUGCACUUUAAAUGGCAUGCAUUUUUA